AUUUUCAGAGAAAUAGAGGGAGAACGUGAAAAGAGAGUUAAAGUGAAAUAGAUCUAGGUCUUCGACGGUGGUGCUUGUGUUUUAUAGUAGUUGCGGUUCAAGGCUUCAAGCGACAUUGAUGACACCGGUUUUCGAACAUAGCAGAGGCGGUGCAACCAUUGGCUGAGGUCUCGCGGUGGUCUUUGACAUCACAAACAUAUCUGGUUGUGGCAACGACUUAUUGUUGAAGAUGGGAGGUUGCCUUGUGCUUAGGAGCACAGAGCACUCGUACUUGAAUAGACCAUGGUAUGCUUUAGGUCUGCUUCUCAUUUGCAAACCAUAGACGGCAAGAUGAAAUAGGUCACAACGAUUUCUGUUUGAAACAAAUUACUUUUAGUAUGGUUGAAAACGGCCUGUGUUAUGAAUGUACUAAUAUGUGUUUCUCGUUUAGCCUCAUUUCUUAAUUUGGUAUUGCCUUGUGGCUUACAAAAAAAGUAUUGAUUUGGUUUUUAAUCUCUUUUGGGUAUCCCUUUCUUCUUGAACGAUAGAUAGUUAUGACUGAUUUUAGUGGUUAGUAGGAAGGAUAAUUCAGAUGAAACCGGUAAAACACAUCUCAGUUGUCGUUCUCUUCAGAGCUUUUAUCUGACCAUGUCUUUUUAAUUACCUAUAUUGGAACUGGACUAAAAGAUGAAACAAAGUUAGUAUCUGAUUUAUUUAUUUUUUAUUGUAAUUUAAAUCUGUUAGUUUCUUGUUUGUUUCUUGCCCCUUUGAAUUUUGGAUUGUUCAAAUAUGCUGGAAACAUAUAAAAGUUUGUCUUGUUGGUUCUUAUGUGAACUUUGCAUUUCUCGCACAAGGUUUGCUGAGAUGCCUAGUUCACCCUCAUAAAAGAUUUAGCUAGAAUAAAUUUUUGGAUGCUGACAGGAGACAAGAAGAAUACGACCAUACGUAUUACUUUUUCAUGUAAUUUUGUUUCUCCAGGUAGGCCAUUUACGUACGCAAACUAUAUUUAUAUGCUUAUAACAUAGAAUUGAAGCCUGUCAACUUGGAAUAUCGUGAAUGGUUGUUUAUAUAGAAUUAUAUCUCUAACUUCUAUGCUUAGAUUUUUAGGUUUUGGCAACUUAUUUACUAGAAUUGUGCAGAACCAAAGAGACAACUUCUACUAAUUAAUAGGAAAAUAGAUGAUGAAGUUUCCAGAAAUCUUGCAAGAUUUUGCUUAUAAUGAGAACAACAAAAGCAGAACCAAGGGUUAAAGAAGCUUAAAUUUGCAAAAGGAGCAAAAAGACAGCAAAAACCAAGAUAAAAGUAAAGAAGGAGGAAUUGCCGCUACUCGCUAAGCCCCGAUUCACAUCCAAACCACAAAAUAGCAAGAACAGAAGGCUGUCAUGGGGUCGUGUCCACCAGACAUGGGCCGUGUCCGAAGUUGGAUGCUGGGCAGAAGCAAAGACAACUGCAAAAGACAAAAAUAACAACCAACACGGGGCCGUGCUAAGCCAAAACGGGGUGUGGUCAACUCAAAGAUUUUCAGAAUAUGCGUUAGUACAGCAAGUACUUUUGCCACGGGCCAUGCCGUUGACACACGGGGCCGUGUUAGUACAAUAUCUGACAAGCAGUUAAUGAGGAAGAGAGAGAUAGAGAUGGGCACGGGGCUGUGCCAGCCGAGCACGGGCUGUGCUGAAGCUUCUGAAGACACCUAUAAAUAGAAGUGAUUGGUUCCACUUCAACUAUAACAACCCUCCUAAAAUUUUUUCGACACCCCUACUAUAUUUAGAGUGCCCCUAUACGUCCUAAAAAUACACCCCGUAUACGAGAAUUGGCCCUAAAUACCUUUAGUUUCACAAAAACUAAUUAAAAACAAAAUUAUA
Molecule: long non-coding RNA, 1841 nt
Filed under: Helianthus annuus (common sunflower)
Lineage: Eukaryota; Viridiplantae; Streptophyta; Magnoliopsida; Asterales; Asteraceae
Source: RNAcentral